CAAAAAAGCAAACGCUGACUUUACUUCACGGAGAAAGCAAAGCAAGAUUUAAAAAAACCAAGAAGGCUAAUAGUGGUCGCGCGCGUGCGCUACUGGCGGCAAUGGCAGGCGCGUGCAGCCCGCGAGCUCCACCUACGUGCGAGCAGAGCUCGAUGUGGUGUCCACAGUUUCGUGAGCUCUGACCACCCCUUCCUCAUUUCAGUACAGCUUCGGAAGCAGGAACUUCACAGGACGGUGAAACGUUUCUCCGCACUUCUAUGACAGCUUCGUUUGAAAACGUAAUUUACGUAAAUAUGUUUUUACUGACAUACAGGUAAAAGGUAACGGGCGGUAGCCGGCGUCUGCCAUAUAAAUUACCGCUUUUCUCAACACAGCCUAACAAGUUUUUAAAGGCUUCCUACAGGAAACGCCGUGAAACCUGCAGGCAGGUGGACCGUCCUUCAAGCCAGGGCCGUUUCAGCGAUUUCUCCUCUGAAACGGGCUUUUGCGCUCAGCUGAGCGAUGGACCCGCAGAGCGGUCUCCUGUCCCGCGCCGGAACCUCCCUAUGGACACUCUUCCAGGGCGCCGUGGUGGAUGCCCCCUCUUUGGAUUUCACUGCCCAAAAGUCUCGAAUUGCCCUUAAGAACCACCUGGUUCGUCCACCCAAGGAUCCUCGAAUACUCCUGCAGAAAGCCUCUGUGAUCCCUAUCCAUUCAGCCCCACCCCAGGAGGAGGGGUUUAACACAAAGCCAGUGAUGAUGAAGGUGGGAGGUGGUGGAGUGAUGGGAAUCAAACUGCCAGGCUUUGGCGGUGGAAUUCCAGCACUGAAGAAAAAAGAAAAAGGAGUGAGUGAAAAAAGUGAGGAAGUUACUGGACAGAUCAGUGAGAAGGAACUCACUGCAAAUGUUGGAAUUGAUGUCAGGGAGCAGAGCAGCACAAAACAAAGGGAGGCAGGACCCAAAAUGGGAGGAGUCGGGGCGAUUGGAGUGAAGCUACCUGCUUUUGGUACAGGACUGCCUAUUUUAAAGAAGACAGACCGGGGAGUGAAGAUGAGGGAGGAUGUUGCAGAUGAUGGUGAAUAUGGAACAGCAAGGGCUGAAGGAAAAGGAGCAGAAUCAAAGGAAAAGGAGGUGAAAAGUACUGGAGCACCAGCUGUAAAACUACCAAGUUUUGGCGCUGGAUUUCCUAUGCUGAGAAAGACUGAAAGGGGAGCGAAAAUGAGAAGUGGAGAAGACUUGGAAAAGUCUGAAGCAGAUAAUUUAAACGACACAGACAAGCCAGAUGGAGGAUCUCCAUCCAACAAGGCUGAUGUAGGAAAUCCUCUACUGUCAGAGCUUAAGUUUAAAUUAAAGAAGACUGACAAGAAGUGAGAGUGAUAUCCUGCGUUUCUUUUUAUACAAUACUGUGUGCAUAUGAAUUUCGACAUUAUUUUACCAUUACUUACCUGCAUUUCGUGCACUAUUAAGUAGGGUUGCCAGCAGUGUAUGCAAUUUUACCGUAAUACCCUAAAGAAUAAAUGUUUGUUCAAGCAUACA
Molecule: long non-coding RNA, 1515 nt
Filed under: Scleropages formosus (Asian bonytongue)
Lineage: Eukaryota; Metazoa; Chordata; Actinopteri; Osteoglossiformes; Osteoglossidae
Description: lncRNA (ENSSFOG00015030510.1)
Source: RNAcentral